Molecule: ribosomal RNA, 254 nt
Filed under: uncultured bacterium
Lineage: Bacteria
Description: partial 16S ribosomal RNA
Rfam family: Bacterial small subunit ribosomal RNA
Source: RNAcentral
UACGGGGGGAGCAAGCGUUGUUCGGAUUUACUGGGCGUAAAGGGCGCGUAGGCGGCCACCGCAAGUCAGUUGUGAAAUCUCUGGGCUUAACCCAGAAAGGUCAACUGAUACUGCGGGGCUAGAGUGCAGAAGGGGCAACUGGAAUUCUCGGUGUAGCGGUGAAAUGCGUAGAUAUCGAGAGGAACACCUGCGGCGAAGGCGGGUUGCUGGGCUGACACUGACGCUGAAGCGCGAAAGCUAGGGGAGCAAACGGG